GAUGAACGCUGGCGGCGUGCCUAAUACAUGCAAGUCGAGCGAACAGACGAGGAGCUUGCUCCUCUGACGUUAGCGGCGGACGGGUGAGUAACACGUGGAUAACCUACCUAUAAGACUGGGAUAACUUCGGGAAACCGGAGCUAAUACCGGAUAACAUGUUGAACCGCAUGGUUCAACAGUGAAAGACGGUCUUGCUGUCACUUAUAGAUGGAUCCGCGCCGCAUUAGCUAGUUGGUAAGGUAACGGCUUACCAAGGCAACGAUGCGUAGCCGACCUGAGAGGGGGAUCGGCCAAACUGGAACUGAGAAACGGUCCAGACUCCUAAGGGAGGCAGCAGUAGGGAAACUUCCGCAAUGGGCGAAAGCCUGAAGGAGCAAAGCCGCGGGAGUGAAGAAGGGCUUCGGAUCGUAAAAAUCUGUUAUUAGGGAAGAACAAAUGUGUAAGUAACUAUGCACGUCUUGACGGUACCUAAUCAGAAAGCCACGGCUAACUACGUG
This 497-nucleotide ribosomal RNA is filed under the name uncultured bacterium. RNAcentral describes it as "partial 16S ribosomal RNA". It matches the Rfam family "Bacterial small subunit ribosomal RNA", at positions 28 to 507 of the family's 1533-position model. The record is from RNAcentral.